GUGGGGAAUAUUGGACAAUGGGGGGAACCCUGAUCCAGCCAUGCCGCGUGUGUGAAGAAGGCCUUUUGGUUGUAAAGCACUUUAAGCGAGGAGGAGGCUACCGAGAUUAAUACUCUUGGAUAGUGGACGUUACUCGCAGAAUAAGCACCGGCUAACUCUGUGCCAGCAGCCGCGGUAAUACAGAGGGUGCAAGCGUUAAUCGGAUUUACUGGGCGUAAAGCGCGCGUAGGUGGCCAAUUAAGUCAAAUGUGAAAUCCCCGAGCUUAACUUGGGAAUUGCAUUCGAUACUGGUUGGCUAGAGUAUGGGGAAGGAUGGUAGAAUUCCAGGUGUAGCGGUGAAAUGCGUAGAUAUCUGGAGGAAUACCGAUGGCGAAGGCAGCCAUCUGGCCUAAUACUGACACUGAGGUGCGAAAGCAUGGGGAGCAAACAGGAUUAGAAACCCGAGUAGUCC
RNAcentral lists this ribosomal RNA (451 nucleotides) under uncultured bacterium. RNAcentral describes it as "partial 16S ribosomal RNA". It matches the Rfam family "Bacterial small subunit ribosomal RNA", at positions 354 to 796 of the family's 1533-position model. The record is from RNAcentral.